Molecule: ribosomal RNA, 253 nt
Filed under: uncultured bacterium
Lineage: Bacteria
Description: partial 16S ribosomal RNA
Rfam family: Bacterial small subunit ribosomal RNA
Source: RNAcentral
UACAGAGGGUGCAAGCGUUGUUCGGAAUUAUUGGGCGUAAAGCGCGUGUAGGCGGCUUCGCGAGUCGGGUGUGAAAUCCCCCAGCUUAACUGGGGAAGUGCGCUCGAAACUGCGGGGCUCGAGUACCGGAGAGGAUGGCGGAAUUCCCCAAGUAGAGGUGAAAUUCGUAGAUAUGGGGAGGAACACCGGUGGCGAAGGCGGCCAUCUGGACGGAUACUGACGCUGAGACGCGAAAGCGUGGGGAGCAAACAGG